This 252-nucleotide ribosomal RNA is filed under the name uncultured Bacteroidales bacterium. RNAcentral's name for it is "partial 16S ribosomal RNA". It matches the Rfam family "Bacterial small subunit ribosomal RNA", at positions 524 to 776 of the family's 1533-position model. The record is from RNAcentral. Lineage: Bacteria; Pseudomonadati; Bacteroidota; Bacteroidia; Bacteroidales.
UACGGAGGAUGCGAGCGUUAUCCGGAUUUAUUGGGUUUAAAGGGUGCGUAGGCGGAUUUUUAAGUCAGCGGUAAAAUGUCCGGGCUCAACCCGGGCCGGCCGUUGAAACUGGGGAUCUUGAGUGGGCGAGAAGUAUGCGGAAUGCGUGGUGUAGCGGUGAAAUGCAUAGAUAUACGGAGGAACACCAGUGGCGAAGGCGGCCUGCUGGACAAUAACUGACGCUGAGGCGCGAAAGCGUGGGGAGCAAACAGG